CUACGGGUCGCUGCAGUGGGGAAUCUUGUGCAAUGGGCGAAAGCCUGACACAGCAACGCCGCGUGCGGGAAGAAGGCCUUCGGGUCGUAAACCGCUUUCAGCAGGAACGAAAAUGACGGUACCUGCAGAAGAAGGUGCGGCCAACUACGUGCCAGCAGCCGCGGUGACACGUAGGCACCAAGCGUUGUCCGGAUUUAUUGGGCGUAAAGAGCUCGUAGGCGGUUCAGCAAGUCGGGUGUGAAAACUAUGGGCUUAACCCAUAGCCUGCAUCCGAAACUGCUGUGACUAGAGUUCGGUAGGGGAGAGGGGAAUUCCUAGUGUAGCGGUGAAAUGCGCAGAUAUUAGGAGGAACACCGAUGGCGAAGGCACCUCUCUGGGCCGAUACUGACGCUGAGGAGCGAAAGCGUGGGUAGCAAACAGGAUUAGAUACCCCGGUAGUC
RNAcentral lists this ribosomal RNA (440 nucleotides) under uncultured bacterium. Its description in RNAcentral is "partial 16S ribosomal RNA". It matches the Rfam family "Bacterial small subunit ribosomal RNA", at positions 339 to 795 of the family's 1533-position model. The record is from RNAcentral.